GAUGAAGAACGUAGUGAAAUGCGAUAAGUAAUGUGAAUUGCAGAAUUCAGUGAAUCAUCGAAUCUUUGAACGCACCUUGCGCCUUUUGGUAUUCCGAAAGGCACACCUGUUUGAGCGUCAUGAAUACCUCAAUCUCCAUCUUUUCUUCGGAUUGAUGGGUGACUUGGAUGUUGAGCCCUGCUGGUAUGCUAUAUCAGCUGGCUUUAAACUUAUUAGCCGGCUCUGUACUGGAUCGGUUUGACUCGACGUGAUAAUAUUAUCGUUGAGGAUGCAUGUCUCAUGCAGCCGGAAAGUAUCAAAGCAGCUUCUAUCUUGCCUUUAGUGCACUUUUACAUUUUAGACCUCAGAUCAGGUGGGACUACCCGCUGAACUUAAGCAUAUCAAUAAGCGGAGGA
This 395-nucleotide unclassified non-coding RNA is filed under the name soil metagenome. RNAcentral describes it as "partial contains 5.8S ribosomal RNA, internal transcribed spacer 2, and large subunit ribosomal RNA". The stretch from base 1 to 120 matches the Rfam family "5.8S ribosomal RNA", at positions 35 to 154 of the family's 154-position model. The record is from RNAcentral.